Molecule: long non-coding RNA, 284 nt
Filed under: Sorghum bicolor (sorghum)
Lineage: Eukaryota; Viridiplantae; Streptophyta; Magnoliopsida; Poales; Poaceae
Description: long non-coding RNA (SBIC_LNC014256)
Source: RNAcentral
UCCCCUGUAAUAAUGUUGCUCUGCCAGCCCAAUACACGAGAGGGGGACUAUAUAAGAAUCAAUGAAGCUAUCACUAUCACGAACUACCCCACGAUCUGGCAUAUUGGGUACAAUCGCAGAUAAAUACGGUAUAAGCACCACGCCUACACAAUAUCUAUCAUUUACCCAUGGAUCCGAUGGAUAAACGCUAUACAAUCCUAAACAUGUAUAUAGGUCCAAUCUAACUAAGCCAAGUACAUAACUAUGAUAAACUAAGAACAAUAUAAUCUUGAAUAUAAGCAAGU